RNAcentral lists this ribosomal RNA (1540 nucleotides) under Klebsiella pneumoniae. RNAcentral describes it as "bacterial SSU rRNA". It matches the Rfam family "Bacterial small subunit ribosomal RNA". The record is from RNAcentral. Lineage: Bacteria; Pseudomonadati; Pseudomonadota; Gammaproteobacteria; Enterobacterales; Enterobacteriaceae.
AAAUUGAAGAGUUUGAUCAUGGCUCAGAUUGAACGCUGGCGGCAGGCCUAACACAUGCAAGUCGAGCGGUAGCACAGAGAGCUUGCUCUCGGGUGACGAGCGGCGGACGGGUGAGUAAUGUCUGGGAAACUGCCUGAUGGAGGGGGAUAACUACUGGAAACGGUAGCUAAUACCGCAUAACGUCGCAAGACCAAAGUGGGGGACCUUCGGGCCUCAUGCCAUCAGAUGUGCCCAGAUGGGAUUAGCUAGUAGGUGGGGUAACGGCUCACCUAGGCGACGAUCCCUAGCUGGUCUGAGAGGAUGACCAGCCACACUGGAACUGAGACACGGUCCAGACUCCUACGGGAGGCAGCAGUGGGGAAUAUUGCACAAUGGGCGCAAGCCUGAUGCAGCCAUGCCGCGUGUGUGAAGAAGGCCUUCGGGUUGUAAAGCACUUUCAGCGGGGAGGAAGGCGUUAAGGUUAAUAACCUUGGCGAUUGACGUUACCCGCAGAAGAAGCACCGGCUAACUCCGUGCCAGCAGCCGCGGUAAUACGGAGGGUGCAAGCGUUAAUCGGAAUUACUGGGCGUAAAGCGCACGCAGGCGGUCUGUCAAGUCGGAUGUGAAAUCCCCGGGCUCAACCUGGGAACUGCAUUCGAAACUGGCAGGCUAGAGUCUUGUAGAGGGGGGUAGAAUUCCAGGUGUAGCGGUGAAAUGCGUAGAGAUCUGGAGGAAUACCGGUGGCGAAGGCGGCCCCCUGGACAAAGACUGACGCUCAGGUGCGAAAGCGUGGGGAGCAAACAGGAUUAGAUACCCUGGUAGUCCACGCCGUAAACGAUGUCGAUUUGGAGGUUGUGCCCUUGAGGUGUGGCUUCCGGAGCUAACGCGUUAAAUCGACCGCCUGGGGAGUACGGCCGCAAGGUUAAAACUCAAAUGAAUUGACGGGGGCCCGCACAAGCGGUGGAGCAUGUGGUUUAAUUCGAUGCAACGCGAAGAACCUUACCUGGUCUUGACAUCCACAGAACUUUCCAGAGAUGGAUUGGUGCCUUCGGGAACUGUGAGACAGGUGCUGCAUGGCUGUCGUCAGCUCGUGUUGUGAAAUGUUGGGUUAAGUCCCGCAACGAGCGCAACCCUUAUCCUUUGUUGCCAGCGGUCCGGCCGGGAACUCAAAGGAGACUGCCAGUGAUAAACUGGAGGAAGGUGGGGAUGACGUCAAGUCAUCAUGGCCCUUACGACCAGGGCUACACACGUGCUACAAUGGCAUAUACAAAGAGAAGCGACCUCGCGAGAGCAAGCGGACCUCAUAAAGUAUGUCGUAGUCCGGAUUGGAGUCUGCAACUCGACUCCAUGAAGUCGGAAUCGCUAGUAAUCGUAGAUCAGAAUGCUACGGUGAAUACGUUCCCGGGCCUUGUACACACCGCCCGUCACACCAUGGGAGUGGGUUGCAAAAGAAGUAGGUAGCUUAACCUUCGGGAGGGCGCUUACCACUUUGUGAUUCAUGACUGGGGUGAAGUCGUAACAAGGUAACCGUAGGGGAACCUGCGGUUGGAUCACCUCCUUA